RNAcentral lists this ribosomal RNA (780 nucleotides) under uncultured bacterium. Its description in RNAcentral is "bacterial SSU rRNA". It matches the Rfam family "Bacterial small subunit ribosomal RNA", at positions 54 to 816 of the family's 1533-position model. The record is from RNAcentral.
CAUGCAAGUCGAGCGAACAGACGAGGAGCUUGCUCCUCUGACGUUAGCGGCGGACGGGUGAGUAGCACGUGGAUAACCUACCUAUAAGACUGGGAUAGCUUCGGGAAACCGGAGCUAAUACCGGAUAAUAUAUUGAACCGCAUGGUCCAAUAGUGAAAGACGGUUUUGCUGUCACUUAUAGAUGGAUCCGCGCCGCAUUAGCUAGUUGGUAAGGUAACGGCUUACCAAGACAACGAUGCGUAGCCGACCUGAGAGGGUGAUCGGCCACACUGGAACUGAGACACGGUCCAGACUCCUACGGGAGGCAGCAGUAGGGAAUCUUCCGCAAUGGGCGAAAGCCUGACGGAGCAACGCCGCGUGAGUGAUGAAGGUCUUCGGAUCGUAAAACUCUGCUACUAGGGAAGAACAAAUGUGUAAGUAACUAUGCACGUCUUGACGGUACCUAAUCAGAAAGCCACGGCUAACUACGUGCCAGCAGCCGCGGUAAUACGUAGGUGGCAAGCGUUAUCCGGAAUUAUUGGGCGUAAAGCGCGCGUAGGUGGUUUUUUAAGUCUGAUAUGAAAGCCCACGGCUCAACCGUGGAGGGUCAUUGGAAACUGGAAAACUUGAGUGCAGAAGAGGAAAGUGGAAUUCCAUGUGUAGCGGUGAAAUGCGCAGAGAUAUGGAGGAACACCAGUGGCGAAGGCGACUUUCUGGUCUGUAACUGACGCUGAUGUGCGAAAGCGUGGAGAUCAAACAGGAUUAGAUACCCUGGUAGUCCACACCGUAAACGAUGAGUGC